UUGUUAGUAAAUAUUUAUUUAUUAUUAUUUAUAUUAUUAUAUAAAUAUUAGCCUAUCCAAUAAGUACAUGUAUUUUCUACAUGGAUACCAAGUUUCAAGUCAAUCGGAUGAAUGGUUCAGUAGUUAUAACGGAACAUCCGUAAAAACCACUAGGGGAAAGUGGGGGAAACGCGAACGCUGGGUAAUGCCGAAUUCAAUGGUUCUAAUAUGUUAGAAAGAUAUAUCCUAAUUUUAUUUGCCGCCAUUUCGGAGAUCACGCCACCACUGAUGCCAGUCAAUAACACGGGAGACGCGGACACACGUACUUAAAAAGAUGCCUUGUACUUACAAAAGAAAGACCGAACUGAAGUAAAGUUUAAAAGAUCUCAAAAAGGCUAUAGACGAUGUUAAAACCAAAAACUCCCUGCGUAAAGCAGCAGAAACAUAUAAUGUUCCAAAAACCACUAAUUUUGACCAUCUAAUGAAAGAAGUGUUAAUACAGCCAUGGUUGGAUGAAAACCUUUAUUUACAGACGAUCAGGAAACGUAAGAAAUCAAGAAGAAAACGGAAAGAUGGCAAAAAAGGAACCCAAAUAAAAGACUGAAAUGUAAUGAGAGAACACCUACAAACAAGAAGUAUGAAAUAUUAUUAAAAAAUUUGAACAAUAUAAAAAAAUACUUUAGUGACUCUAGUCAAAAUACGAAAAAAAAAAGAAAAAGGCGAAAAAGAAAAUAAAGACUACUUUUGUAUUUUUUGUAGAGAUAAAUAUAUUGAUCCUCCCGUUGAAGACUAGAUUGUGUGCUAUGUGUGCAAAAAAUGGGCUCACGAGAGUUGUACUGACGGACAGUCAACAUCGUUGGGUUUUAAAUGUGAUCUAUGUCGUUAAUAAUGUUGGUUCGUAAUCACCCCACUUGGUGUUCGUAUUUACCCGACUGAUGUCGGGCAAAGCCGAACACUAAGGGUUUUGUUUUUCUUUCAUAUUGUUGCAGUUUAUUAAAAAAAUAUAAAUGAUGAUUAGUGAAUAAGUUAGACAGAUAAGUAAACUUUAUAAUAAAAAAAAAUUAAAAAAUCUAUGAUUAAA
This is a long non-coding RNA of Bombyx mori (domestic silkworm), 1060 nucleotides long. RefSeq lists it as uncharacterized. The transcript is spliced from 2 exons. Lineage: Eukaryota; Metazoa; Arthropoda; Insecta; Lepidoptera; Bombycidae. The record is from RefSeq and is a predicted model, not a curated record.